RNAcentral lists this ribosomal RNA (865 nucleotides) under Hahnia clathrata. Its description in RNAcentral is "SSU rRNA". It matches the Rfam family "Eukaryotic small subunit ribosomal RNA", at positions 52 to 916 of the family's 1831-position model. The record is from RNAcentral. Lineage: Eukaryota; Metazoa; Arthropoda; Arachnida; Araneae; Hahniidae.
UGCAUGUCUAAGUACAUGCCGUAUCAAGGCGAAACCGCGAAUGGCUCAUUAAAUCAGUUAUGGUUCCUUGGAUCGUACCUUACUACUUGGAUAACUGUGGCAAUUCUAGAGCUAAUACAUGCAGCAGAGCUCCGACCUUCGGGGACGAGCGCUUUUAUUAGACCAAAACCCAUCGGACCUCGUGUCCGUCUCUUGUGGUGACUCUGUAUAACUUUGGGCUGAUCGCACGGGCCUGUCCCGGCGACGUAUCCUUCAAGUGUCUGCCUUAUCAACUUUCGAUGGUAGGUUACGCGCCUACCAUGGUCGUAACGGGUAACGGGGAAUCAGGGUUCGAUUCCGGAGAGGGAGCCUGAGAAACGGCUACCACAUCCAAGGAAGGCAGCAGGCGCGCAAAUUACCCAAUCCCAGAACGGGGAGGUAGUGACGAAAAAUAACAAUACGGGACUCUUUUGAGACCCCGUAAUUGGAAUGAGUACACUCUAAAUCCUUUAACGAUUAUCCAUUAGAGUACCAGUCUGGUGCCAGCACACGCGGUAAUUCCAGCUCUAAUAGCGUAUAUUAAAGUUGUUGCGGUUAAAAAGCUCGUAGUUGGAUCUCAGUUCCAGACGGGUGGUCCGCCUACCGGUGGUUACUGCCUGUUCUGAACAGCCAGCCGGUUUCUCUUGAUGAUCUUCACCGGUUGUCUUGAGUGACCGGCAAGUUUACUUUGAAAAAAUUAGAGUGCUCAAGGCAGGCGUGACGCCUGAAUAAUGGUGCAUGGAAUAAUGGAAUAGGACCUCGGUUCUAUUUUGUUGGUUUUCGGAACACGAGGUAAUGAUUAAGAGGGACAGACGGGGGCAUUCGUAUUGCGACGCUAGAGGUGAAA